AAGUCGUAACAAGGUUUCCGUAGGUGAACCUGCGGAAGGAUCAUUAGCGUAGUUUUGAGUGUGCUGAAAGGCACUUCAAACAAAACACACACCAUGUGAACCAGGAACAGUGUAAACGAUACGAUUGGAGGCUCUUUCACAAGAGUCGCCAGUCUGUCGUAUUAACCUUUGACAACGUUUGUGAAUGACUAAUAGUUUUACGAAACAACAACCAUACACACAACUUUUAACAAUGGAUCUCUAGGCUCCU
Molecule: unclassified non-coding RNA, 250 nt
Filed under: fungal sp.
Lineage: Eukaryota; Fungi
Description: partial internal transcribed spacer region
Rfam family: Eukaryotic small subunit ribosomal RNA (bases 1-46)
Source: RNAcentral